AUGCACCGGCUAGUGUUUGGGCUGCAUUUGCUGCUCGCAAGAACAGCAAGGACGCCCUCCAAUGGCGAGAUAAGUCUUUCCCAUACUAUGAUGAAUUGGCUUCGCUCUAUGAAGGUCGUUAUGCUGAAGGCAGGACUCGUCGUCGUAUGGACUACUACACAAGCAGGGCAAAAUAAUGUGGUGAACUAUGUUGAUGAAGAGCCUAAUGCUUAUCGGUCGCCUUCACCUACUUUACAAGGUGCAGGUGAAUUUGGUUUCCAUUUUUCUGUUGAAGAAGAGACUGAGAAUUUAAAUGUGGAUGCUGGACAACAUUCAUCAACACCUAUGCAAGAAAUGAAAACCACACCAAGCUCCACACAAGCACGUACAGAGAAGCCUAGCAAGAAAAAACAAAAGAGAAGUACUGCUGAACCUCCGGAUGGAUUUCACGAGAUAUAUUUGAAGUUGAAGCAGGAAGAAAUAGACCGAUUUGCAGCUAUUGAGGAGAAGAAAGCAGCUAUUGAGGAGAAAAAAACAGAGGAUCCCUACAGCAUUAACAAGUGCAUUACAACUGUUGAAGAGUUGGAGGGACUACAAUUGAGUGACAUUCUCAUGGCAUCAGAUAUCUUCCAAGCAAAGAAUAACAGGAAAGUUUUCUUGUCAUUUUCUACUAAUGAACGAUGA
This 663-nucleotide ribosomal RNA is filed under the name Triticum aestivum (bread wheat). Its description in RNAcentral is "partial small subunit ribosomal RNA". Lineage: Eukaryota; Viridiplantae; Streptophyta; Magnoliopsida; Poales; Poaceae. The record is from RNAcentral.